AGCUUUUUGAAUUGUAGUAAAGGGUUGUGAACCAUUUCACUAUUGUGUCCCCAAAACCUAGAAAUUUCAAGGUUUCACAUAUAAAGUUCCACUCAAGAGAGUCGAAGGCUUUUUCAAAGUCCAACAAGACAAGCAAGCCAGGAAUAUCUUCGUCAUCUACUUUUUUCAAGAGGUCAUAUAUAAGUCUUGUACACUCACCAAUAUAUCUGCCUUUCAUAAAGCCAGUUUGAGUUUCACUAAUCAGGUGAUCAAGGACUUUUUUAAUUCUAUUUGCAAUACAUGUUGAUACUAUUUUAUAGUCUACAUUAAGUAGUGAAAUAGGUCGCCAAUUUUUUAGAAAAUGUUUUGGUUUACCAUCUUUGGG
This 364-nucleotide long non-coding RNA is filed under the name Mytilus galloprovincialis (Mediterranean mussel). The record is from RNAcentral. Lineage: Eukaryota; Metazoa; Mollusca; Bivalvia; Mytilida; Mytilidae.